AAGGAUUUAAGUUAAAAAAACUAUUAACCUUCAAAGUUAAAAUUAUAAAAAUUAUAAGCCUUA
Molecule: transfer RNA, 63 nt
Filed under: Iolania perkinsi
Lineage: Eukaryota; Metazoa; Arthropoda; Insecta; Hemiptera; Cixiidae
Also listed under: 1 other name
Description: tRNA-Trp
Source: RNAcentral